UAUUGGGGUGCAUAUAUUAUGAAGCGCUGUCUGCCUCACACAGACGCACUCCUCUCCACACUUCUGUCAAGGACAGCUAUCCAGCGCCUAAUUAGAUCAACAUGGAGCACUCAUCACACUGACCCACUUUACAUUGGAGAAGAAAAAACUCGGCAGAAAGCCAAGAGAAAGCUGGAGGAGAAACGGAGUCAGAGACCUAUCGCCACCAUUCCAGGGGAGGGGAGAGUGUGAUGUGUACGAGAGAGAGAUGCAUAAAAGGAAGACAAACAAAGACAGGUCGGAAGAGCGAGGAAGAAGGAUGUGACUGGGAGAGUGCAAAAGAGGUUUAGAGAAUGACUCACAGAUGAGGAAUUUCAAUGAUGACAAUAAACUGGAGAAGUUGGGGCUCUGGACUGUGAAAACAAUGCUGUGGAAUGCUCCAAAAAGUUGGACUGUUCUGUAUCACCCUUGGAAAAGUUCCUAAAGAAAAAACCCUUUGAGCCCAAGUCCAUCAGGGAGUGGUCAGCACAUAGUACCUUCAAGACCCUGUGGGAGAGGGAGAGGGUGGAUCCUGCUAGAUGGUUGACUGUCAAUGUCAUUUGGGAAAAUGUCCUAUCACCAGAACUUUCCAACAAGCUUGGUUGGUGGUGAGAGGGUCACUACCUGUGAGAUCCAUUAUGUAGACCCAUUCGGUCUGUGCCACCUCACGCUGCCCUCAAAGUGGCUGUGUUGCGGGUGGGGGGAAGGUGAGGGCAGAGACUGAGAUGUAUUUCCUUCUGGAAUGUGCCUUUGCAAACCAAAGUCUGGAGGAAGAUGGUUCUUGUUGAAAGGAGAUGAAGGAUGAAGGGUCUAGGCCCGAAACGUCAGCUUUUGUGCUCCUAAGAUGCUGCUUAGCCUGCUGUGUUCAUCCAGCUCCACGCUUUGUUAUCUUUGUUCUUGUUGAAGUUCAUCGCGAGCAGCUCCGUGUAGCGGGACUCUGUGCCCUAUGGUCUGUUCCCUGGGAUGCAUGCUGAGACAAACAUUGACUGCGCCUGGAGGACCAUCAACUCGAUGAAAGACACUCUUUGGUCUGCCCGAAACUUGUUGGUCUUCUAUUCCAAAGGAUAGUCCUCAACUGAGUGAGACAGACUGGCACAUUCCAAGGCCCAGGACUAAAGCUUGGAGCAGCUGGAGAGGAGAAAAAAAACAGUCAUCAUGGCGCUCUGGUUUAAUCUAACUGUUAUGUUCCAUUUUGGAGCUUUCAUUGGAAUAUAAAUAGUUCCUUGCCAUGUUUAGAAAAUGCCUUUUUGUCGCAACUGGAUGAAAGAAUUAAUGAGGAAUGUCGAAAUUCUGCUGCAUUUUCUGUAAUGUGCGUACUGAGCUGUUUUGUGCUUUUUGAAUUGUAGAUAGUUUAUGAACAAAGUACAUUCUUGAAAUUAAAAACAAAACAAAGGCAGAAGGUUUGGUGACAAGCUUCCUGCUCACUGUUGGCUGGGAAACACCCAUCAGGCGAUAUAAAUCCAUUGUAAAUGACUGAUGGGAAGAGUGGGUAUGGAUUGGUAGCAGAGCCCAGGGCGGGUCCGGUACCUUGGACAUAGUCAGCUCCUCCACAAGAGGCUACUGAGUGGGGAGAAGAACAAUCAAUGGUGAGGCUCUAAGCUAUAACAUACGGUUACGGUAACCAUUUACUUGUGGUGUGUAAAAUUGAGCCUGAUAUUACUGCUGCAUGCUGAGACUGGAGACUAAUGUACUGGGUCUACACGAGACUGUACCGUUUGCAGCUGCGAAAAGUGGUCUUACACGUUGAGUUGACCACAAUCCAUGUCAGUAGAUGCAAGCGUACACAUGUGUGAGUGUGUACGGCCAGGGAUGAAAUCCAUGUGUGCACUUACAUGAAUGUCAUAGGUACAGGAGGAGGCCAUUCAGCCCCAUUCCAUGAGAUCAUGACUUAUCUAUGGCCUAACCCCAUGUACCUGCCUUUGGCCCAUAUUCCUUAAUACGCUUGCUUAACAAGAAUGUAUCUAUCUCUGAUUUAAAUUGAGGAACUGACCCACUUGCUGUUUGUGGCAGAUGGUUCCAAACAACAACUGCUUUUUGCGUGAACAAACUGAUCCCUGACGUCUCUCCUGAAAGUGCUGACCCUAGUUCUCAGACUAUGCCCCUAGUUCUAGAAUCCCCAACCAGUGGCAAUAGUUUAUAUUUAUCUACCCUGUCUUUUCCUGUUAAUAUCUUGAAGACUUUGAUCAGAUCACCCCUUAACCAUCUCAAUGCUAAAGUAAAAUUUGCGUAAUUUUUCCUCAUAACUUGACCCCGAGACAAAGUUCAUUAACACGUAAUCCUACAAAGCACAUUGGGUUAUUUUCCAGUUUAAAGAUGCAGAGUGGGAGAAGGAUGAGGGAAUGGGGUCCAGAAUUAGGCGACACAGUCUCAGAAUUAGGGCCAGAUCAUUUUGGAUUGAAAUGAGGAAAGUAGUGAGCCCUCAACCUCUGAGUGCUGCAGAGCAUCCAUCAUUGAGUAUGUUCAGGGCAGAGAUUGAGGGAUUUCUACAGAUUAGAAACAUCAAGGGACAGCUCCCGGACAUAGGGUUGAAAUAAAAGGCCAUCAAUAAUUGGUGCAGCAGGCUCGGGCGGCUGAAUGGUCUUCUCCAAUUUGCUAUUUCCAAUAUUCUUAUGAUCCUAUAAAUGAAGUCUGCAAGUGGCUGUUCAUGUAACAGCAGUGCUGCACAGAUGGGAGUGUGCAUUUAGCAAGAAUAACUAUUCAUUGCAAAUAAAUAGAUCCGAGCUACAAAUAAAAAUAUGAUGAACCGUUGAUGUAACCCCUACUGGUUACAAUUAUAAUCUCUUAGUAAGUGGAGUUAGUACUGGACUGUGAAUCCAAAGACUCAGGUAAUGUUCUGGGGGCUAGGGUUUGAAUCUCGCCAUUAGUGGUAUUUGAAUUCAAUAAAAAGCUGGAAUUAGGACUCUAAUGAUGACCA
Long non-coding RNA from Stegostoma tigrinum, 2932 nucleotides. RefSeq lists it as uncharacterized. The record is from RefSeq and is a predicted model, not a curated record. The transcript is spliced from 3 exons. NCBI's taxonomy places the organism in Eukaryota, Metazoa, Chordata, Chondrichthyes, Orectolobiformes, Stegostomatidae.